Molecule: ribosomal RNA, 496 nt
Filed under: uncultured bacterium
Lineage: Bacteria
Description: partial 16S ribosomal RNA
Rfam family: Bacterial small subunit ribosomal RNA
Source: RNAcentral
GAUGAACGCUGGCGGCGUGCCUAAUACAUGCAAGUCGAGCGAACAGACGAGGAGCUUGCUCCUUUGACGUUAGCGGCGGACGGGUGAGUAACACGUGGAUAACCUACCUAUAAGACUGGGAUAACUUCGGGAAACCGGAGCUAAUACCGGAUAACAUGUUGAACCGCAUGGUUCAACAGUGAAAGACGGUCUUGCUGUCACUUAUAGAUGGAUCCGCGCCGCAUUAGCUAGUUGGUAAGGUAACGGCUUACCAAGGCAACGAUGCGUAGCCGACCUGAGAGGGUGAUCGGCCACACUGGAACUGAGACACGGUCCAGACUCCUACGGGAGGCAGCAGUAGGGAAUCUUCCGCAAUGGGCGAAAGCCUGACGGAGCAACGCCGCGUGAGUGAAGAAGGUCUGCGGAUCGUAAAACUCUGUUAUUAGGGAAGAACAAAUGUGUAAGUAACGAUGCACGUCUUGACGGUACCUAAGCAGAAAGCCACGGCUAACUACGU